Molecule: ribosomal RNA, 324 nt
Filed under: uncultured eukaryote
Lineage: Eukaryota
Description: partial 18S ribosomal RNA
Rfam family: Eukaryotic small subunit ribosomal RNA
Source: RNAcentral
CCCUUAGAUGUUCUGGGCUGCACGCGCGCUACACUGAAGCUAUCAACACGUUUUCCCUCCCUGAGAAGGGCGGGUAACCUUUUGAAUCAGCUUCGUGGUAGGGACCGGGGCUUGCAAUUGUUCCCCGUGAAUCAGGAAUUCCUAGUAGACGCGAGUCAUAAGCUCGCAUCGAUUAAGUCCCUGCCCUUUGUACACACCGCCCGUCGCUACUACCGAUUGAACGUUUUAGUGAGGCAUUUGGACCGACGCAUCUCAGUUUAACCGCUGGUUUGUGUUGGAAAGACUUCCAAACUUGAGCGUUUAGAGGAAGUAAAAGUCGUAACA